RNAcentral lists this ribosomal RNA (253 nucleotides) under uncultured bacterium. RNAcentral's name for it is "partial 16S ribosomal RNA". It matches the Rfam family "Bacterial small subunit ribosomal RNA", at positions 524 to 776 of the family's 1533-position model. The record is from RNAcentral.
UACGUAGGCAGCGAGCGUUGUUCGGAAUUACUGGGUGUAAAGGGUUCGUAGGCGGUGUAGCAAGUCGGGAGUGAAAUCUCUGGGCUCAACCCAGAGACUGCUUCCGAAACUGCUGUGCUUGAGUGUGGGAGAGGCGCGUGGAAUUGCAGGUGUAGCGGUGAAAUGCGUAGAUAUCUGCAGGAACACCCGUGGCGAAAGCGGCGCGCUGGACCACUACUGACGCUGAGGAACGAAAGCUAGGGGAGCAAACAGG